RNAcentral lists this ribosomal RNA (636 nucleotides) under uncultured bacterium. Its description in RNAcentral is "bacterial SSU rRNA". It matches the Rfam family "Bacterial small subunit ribosomal RNA", at positions 93 to 740 of the family's 1533-position model. The record is from RNAcentral.
AAGUGGCGAAAGGGGCAGUAAGGCGUGGGUAACCUACCCCGGGGAUCGGGAUAGCCUUCCUAACGGUUGGGUAAUACCGGGCGAUCCAGCGAGGAGACAUCUUCUUGCUGGGAAAUGAAUUUCGCCUCGGGAGGGGCUCACGUGCUAUUAGCUAGUUGGUGAGGUAACGGCUCACCAAGGCUUAGAUGGCUAGCAGGUGUGAGAGCACGACCUGCGCCACUGGCACUGCGACACUGGCCAGACUCCUACGGGAGGCUGCAGUCGAGGAUCUUCGGCAAUGGGCGCAAGCCUGACCGAGCGACGCCGCGUGUGCGAUGAAGGCCUUCGGGUUGUAAAGCACUGUCGAGGGGGAGGAAGCCGCAAGGUUGACCUAUCCCUGGAGGAAGCACGGGCUAAGUUCGUGCCAGCAGCCGCGGUAAGACGAACCGUGCGAACGUUGUUCGGAAUCACUGGGCUUAAAGGGCGCGUAGGCGGACCACCAAGUCCGGGGUGAAAUCUUUCGGCUUAACCGGAAAACAGCCUUGGAUACUGGUGGUCUCGAGGGAGGUAGGGGCCGUUGGAACUUCCGGUGGAGCGGUGAAAUGCGUUGAUAUCGGAAGGAACGCCGGUGGCGAAAGCGAACGGCUGGACCUCUUC